Molecule: non-coding RNA, 177 nt
Filed under: Risungbinella massiliensis
Lineage: Bacteria; Bacillati; Bacillota; Bacilli; Caryophanales; Thermoactinomycetaceae
Description: Lysine riboswitch
Rfam family: Lysine riboswitch aptamer
About the family: Riboswitches are metabolite binding domains within certain messenger RNAs that serve as precision sensors for their corresponding targets. Allosteric rearrangement of mRNA structure is mediated by ligand binding, and this results in modulation of gene expression.
Source: RNAcentral
GAGUAGAGGUGCGACUUUUAAGAGUAAGCUGUUGGAGAUCAGAGUCGAUCGUUGAGAACAUGCCCAAAGGAAAAGCCGCCGAAGUCCAAAUCCUGUCUCUAGGAUAUGGGCUGGGGUUGUUACCGAAUAGGAACAACACUGUCAUGGCAGAUUAUGAUUUGUCAUGGGGAGCUACUA